Molecule: ribosomal RNA, 602 nt
Filed under: Paenibacillus tritici
Lineage: Bacteria; Bacillati; Bacillota; Bacilli; Caryophanales; Paenibacillaceae
Description: bacterial SSU rRNA
Rfam family: Bacterial small subunit ribosomal RNA
Source: RNAcentral
UUGGAGAGUUUGAUCCUGGCUCAGGACGAACGCUGGCGGCAUGCCUAAUACAUGCAAGUCGAGCGGAGUUAUGAAGGAGCUUGCUCCGGAUUAACUUAGCGGCGGACGGGUGAGUAACACGUAGGCAACCUGCCCUCAAGACUGGGAUAACUACCGGAAACGGUAGCUAAUACCGGAUAAUUUCUUUCCUCUCCUGAAGAGAGAAUGAAAGGCGGAGCAAUCUGCCACUUGGGGAUGGGCCUGCGGCGCAUUAGCUAGUUGGUGGGGUAACGGCUCACCAAGGCGACGAUGCGUAGCCGACCUGAGAGGGUGAACGGCCACACUGGGACUGAGACACGGCCCAGACUCCUACGGGAGGCAGCAGUAGGGAAUCUUCCGCAAUGGGCGCAAGCCUGACGGAGCAAUGCCGCGUGAGUGAUGAAGGUUUUCGGAUCGUAAAGCUCUGUUGCCAGGGAAGAACGUCCGGUAGAGUAACUGCUGCCGGAGUGACGGUACCUGAGAAGAAAGCCCCGGCUAACUACGUGCCAGCAGCCGCGGUAAUACGUAGGGGGCAAGCGUUGUCCGGAAUUAUUGGGCGUAAAGCGCGCGCAGGCGGUUAUUUA